Molecule: transfer RNA, 72 nt
Filed under: Camelus bactrianus (Bactrian camel)
Lineage: Eukaryota; Metazoa; Chordata; Mammalia; Artiodactyla; Camelidae
Also listed under: 3 other names
Rfam family: tRNA
About the family: Transfer RNA (tRNA) molecules are approximately 80 nucleotides in length. Their secondary structure includes four short double-helical elements and three loops (D, anti-codon, and T loops).
Source: Rfam by way of RNAcentral
GGAGUUACAGCUCAGUGGUAGAGCACUUGCUUGGUACGCACAAGGUCCUGGGUUCAAUCCCUAGUGCCUCCA